CAUCUGUAUCUGCUAAAUGUUCCUCUGUACCUGCUAAAUGUUCCUCUGUAUCUGCUAAAUGUUCCUUUGUAUCUGCUAAAUGUUCAUCUGUAUCUGCUAAAUGUUCCUUUGUAUCUGCUAAAUGUUCAUCUGUAUCUGCUAAAUGUUCCUCUGUACCUGCUAAAUGUUCCUCUGUAUCUGCUAAAUGUUCCUUUGUAUCUGCUAAAUGUUCAUCUGUAUCUGCUAAAUGUUCCUCUGUAUCUGCUAAAUGUUCAUCUGUAUCUGCUAAAUGUUCCUCUGUACCUGCUAAAUGUUCCUCUGUAUCUGCUAAAUGUUCCUUUGUAUCUGCUAAAUGUUCAUCUGUAUCUGCUAAAUGUUCCUUUGUAUCUGCUAAAUGUUCAUCUGUAUCUGCUAAAUGUUCCUCUGUACCUGCUAAAUGUUCCUCUGUAUCUGCUAAAUGUUCAUCUGUAUCUGCUAAAUGUUCCUCUGUAUCUGCUAAAUGUUCCUAAUGUUCCUUUGUAUCUGCUAAAUGUUCAUCUGUAUCUGCUAAAUGUUCCUCUGUAUCUGCUAAAUGUUCCUUUGUAUCUGCUAAAUGUUCAUCUGUAUCUGCUAAAUGUUCCUCUGUACCUGCUAAAUGUUCCUUUGCAUCUGCUAAAUUCUCCUCUGUAUCUGCUAAAUGUUCCUCUGUACCUGCUAAAUGUUCCUCUGUAUCUGCUAAAUGUUCCUUUGUAUCUGCUAAAUGUUCCUCUGUAUCUGCUAAAUUCUCCUCUGUAUCUGCUAAAUGUUCCUCUGUACCUGCUAAAUGUUCCUCUGUAUCUGCUAAAUUCUCCUCUGUAUCUGCUAAAUGUUCCUCUGUACCUGCUAAAUGUUCCUCUGUAUCUGCUAAAUGUUCCUUUGUAUCUGCUAAAUGUUCAUCUGUAUCUGCUAAAUGUUCCUCUGUAUCUGCUAAAUGUUCAUCUGUAUCUGCUAAAUGUUCAUCUGUAUCUGCUAAAUGUUCCUCUGUAUCUGCUAAAUGUUCCUUUGUAUCUGCUAAAUGUUCAUCUGUAUCUGCUAAAUGUUC
This 1039-nucleotide long non-coding RNA is filed under the name Cottoperca gobio. Its description in RNAcentral is "lncRNA (ENSCGOG00000018688.1)". The record is from RNAcentral. Lineage: Eukaryota; Metazoa; Chordata; Actinopteri; Perciformes; Bovichtidae.